GAUUCAGCAUAUCAAAGAAGCCCAAAAAUUCAAAUUUUGUUAAAAUCAAACUAGUUUAAUUUUGGACCCUUUGGACCUUAAUUUAGACCAAUUUGAAAACAGGACCAAAAAUUAAGAAUCUAAAUACACGGUUAGAUUUGGCAUAUCAAAGAACCCCAAUAAUUCAUUUUUGAUGAAAUCAAACAAAGUUUAAUUUUGGCCCCUUUUGGCCCCUAAUUCCUAAACUGUGGGGACCAAAACUCCCAAAAUCAAUUCC
Molecule: long non-coding RNA, 256 nt
Filed under: Mytilus galloprovincialis (Mediterranean mussel)
Lineage: Eukaryota; Metazoa; Mollusca; Bivalvia; Mytilida; Mytilidae
Source: RNAcentral